AGCAGCCGCGGUAAUUCCAGCUCCAAUAGCGUAUAUUAGAGUUGUUGCAGUUAAAAAGCUCGUAGUUGAAUUUCGGGAUUCUACCGUUGGUCGGGCUAUUGUCUGUACUGGCGUGUAGAAUUUCUACCUUCUGGGGAACUAUCAUGUUAUUAAUUUAGCGUGGUAGGAAACCAGGACCUUUACCUUGAAAAAAUUAGAGUGUUCAAAGCAGGCUUAUGUCUGAAUACAUUAGCAUGGAAUAAUAAAAUAGGACGGUGGUCCUGUUUUGUUGGUUUCUGAAUCACCGCAAUGAUUAAUAGGGAUAGUUGGGGGCAUUAGUAUUCAAUUGUCAGAGGUGAAAUUCUUGGAUUUAUUGAAGACUAACUACUGCGAAAGCAUUUGCCAAGGAUGUUUUCAUUAAUCAAGAACGAAAGUUAGGGGAUCGAAGACGAUCAGAUACCGUCGUAGUCUUAACCAUAAACUAUGCCGACUAGGGAUCGGACGAUGUUAACUUUUCUUGACUCGUUCGGCGCCUUACGGG
RNAcentral lists this ribosomal RNA (520 nucleotides) under uncultured Glomeromycotina. RNAcentral's name for it is "SSU rRNA". It matches the Rfam family "Eukaryotic small subunit ribosomal RNA", at positions 569 to 1094 of the family's 1831-position model. The record is from RNAcentral. Lineage: Eukaryota; Fungi; Glomeromycota.